RNAcentral lists this ribosomal RNA (729 nucleotides) under uncultured bacterium. RNAcentral describes it as "bacterial SSU rRNA". It matches the Rfam family "Bacterial small subunit ribosomal RNA", at positions 45 to 770 of the family's 1533-position model. The record is from RNAcentral.
UGGAUAAGACAUGCAAGUCGAACGGAAGUACUCGGUAGCAAUACUGGUUGCUUUAGUGGCGCACGGGUGAGUAACACGUGAGUUACAUGCCCUGCAGCGGGGAAUAGCCCGCCGAAAGGCGGAUUAAUACCCCAUGGCCCCGCAAGGGUAAAGGCGGCGAAAGCUGCCACUGCAGGAUUGGCUCGCGGCCUAUCAGCUUGUUGGCGGGGUAACGGCCCACCAAGGCGACGACGGGUACCUGGUCUGAGAGGACGAUCAGGCACACUGGAACUGAGACACGGUCCAGACACCUACGGGUGGCAGCAGUCGAGAAUCAUUCACAAUGGGGGCAACCCUGAUGGUGCAACGCCGCGUGGAGGAUGACGGUCCUCGGAUUGUAAACUCCUGUCAUCUGGGAGUAAGACCUGACGGUCAAUAGCCGGCAGGGUUGAUAGUACCAGAAGAGGAAGGGACGGCUAACUUCGUGCCAGCAGCCGCGGUAAUACGAAGGUCCCAAGCGUUGUUCGGAAUCACUGGGCGUAAAGGGUGCGUAGGCGGCAUGGUAAGUCAGAUGUGAAAUCCCGGGGCUCAACCCCGGAACUGCAUCCGAUACUGCCUUGCUAGAGGACCGGAGAGGAGAUUGGAAUUCUCGGUGUAGCAGUGAAAUGCGUAGAGAUCGAGAGGAACACUCGUGGCGAAGGCGAGUCUCUGGACGGUUCCUGACGCUGAGGCACGAAGGCCGGGGUAGCG